AGCGAACGCUGGCGGCAGGCCUAACACAUGCAAGUCGAACGGAUCCUUCGGGAUUAGUGGCGGACGGGUGAGUAACACGUGGGAACGUGCCCUUUGGUUCGGAACAACUCAGGGAAACUUGAGCUAAUACCGGAUGUGCCCUUCAGGGGAAAGAUUUAUCGCCAUUGGAGCGGCCCGCGUCUGAUUAGCUAGUUGGUGAGGUAACGGCCUACCAAGGCGACGAUCAGUAGCUGGUCUGAGAGGAUGAUCAGCCACACUGGGACUGAGACACGGCCCAGACUCCUACGGGAGGCAGCAGUGGGGAAUCUUGCGCAAUGGGCGAAAGCCUGACGCAGCCAUGCCGCGUGAAUGAUGAAGGUCUUAGGAUUGUAAAAUUCUUUCAGCGGGGACGAUAAUGACGGUACCCGCAGAAGAAGCUCCGGCUAACUUCGUG
RNAcentral lists this ribosomal RNA (433 nucleotides) under uncultured bacterium. RNAcentral's name for it is "partial 16S ribosomal RNA". It matches the Rfam family "Bacterial small subunit ribosomal RNA", at positions 29 to 507 of the family's 1533-position model. The record is from RNAcentral.